RNAcentral lists this ribosomal RNA (1302 nucleotides) under Staphylococcus aureus 1111100370. RNAcentral's name for it is "bacterial LSU rRNA". It matches the Rfam family "Bacterial large subunit ribosomal RNA", at positions 1619 to 2925 of the family's 2925-position model. Lineage: Bacteria; Bacillati; Bacillota; Bacilli; Caryophanales; Staphylococcaceae. The record is from RNAcentral.
GCCUCUAGAUAGAAAAUAGGUGCCCGUACCGCAAACCGACACAGGUAGUCAAGAUGAGAAUUCUAAGGUGAGCGAGCGAACUCUCGUUAAGGAACUCGGCAAAAUGACCCCGUAACUUCGGGAGAAGGGGUGCUCUUUAGGGUUAACGCCCAGAAGAGCCGCAGUGAAUAGGCCCAAGCGACUGUUUAUCAAAAACACAGGUCUCUGCUAAACCGUAAGGUGAUGUAUAGGGGCUGACGCCUGCCCGGUGCUGGAAGGUUAAGAGGAGUGGUUAGCUUCUGCGAAGCUACGAAUCGAAGCCCCAGUAAACGGCGGCCGUAACUAUAACGGUCCUAAGGUAGCGAAAUUCCUUGUCGGGUAAGUUCCGACCCGCACGAAAGGCGUAACGAUUUGGGCACUGUCUCAACGAGAGACUCGGUGAAAUCAUAGUACCUGUGAAGAUGCAGGUUACCCGCGACAGGACGGAAAGACCCCGUGGAGCUUUACUGUAGCCUGAUAUUGAAAUUCGGCACAGCUUGUACAGGAUAGGUAGGAGCCUUUGAAACGUGAGCGCUAGCUUACGUGGAGGCGCUGGUGGGAUACUACCCUAGCUGUGUUGGCUUUCUAACCCGCACCACUUAUCGUGGUGGGAGACAGUGUCAGGCGGGCAGUUUGACUGGGGCGGUCGCCUCCUAAAAGGUAACGGAGGCGCUCAAAGGUUCCCUCAGAAUGGUUGGAAAUCAUUCAUAGAGUGUAAAGGCAUAAGGGAGCUUGACUGCGAGACCUACAAGUCGAGCAGGGUCGAAAGACGGACUUAGUGAUCCGGUGGUUCCGCAUGGAAGGGCCAUCGCUCAACGGAUAAAAGCUACCCCGGGGAUAACAGGCUUAUCUCCCCCAAGAGUUCACAUCGACGGGGAGGUUUGGCACCUCGAUGUCGGCUCAUCGCAUCCUGGGGCUGUAGUCGGUCCCAAGGGUUGGGCUGUUCGCCCAUUAAAGCGGUACGCGAGCUGGGUUCAGAACGUCGUGAGACAGUUCGGUCCCUAUCCGUCGUGGGCGUAGGAAAUUUGAGAGGAGCUGUCCUUAGUACGAGAGGACCGGGAUGGACAUACCUCUGGUGUACCAGUUGUCGUGCCAACGGCAUAGCUGGGUAGCUAUGUGUGGACGGGAUAAGUGCUGAAAGCAUCUAAGCAUGAAGCCCCCCUCAAGAUGAGAUUUCCCAACUUCGGUUAUAAGAUCCCUCAAAGAUGAUGAGGUUAAUAGGUUCGAGGUGGAAGCAUGGUGACAUGUGGAGCUGACGAAUACUAAUCGAUCGAAGACUUAAUC